CCGUUUUCACUUGUGCUUUCCUGUCCACUGUUCAUGUAACGAGGUCAAAUUCGUGCUUGUGAUAUUAACAGAUUAUCAAAAUGUUAAACUACCACAUGGUUAAGUCUAACGUGUCCUAAAAAUAUAUUGUGUAUACAUAAAAAAAUGCAAAAAGUACUUUUGAAACAAACUUUAAACUCUUAGCACACUUAAUCCAGAUUUUUUUCCCCCAGUCCUGCCUGUGAAAUUCACAAGGAAGUUCAAAGUAUGUGGCCCAACCUCAAAGAUUACAGGAAGCUCACUAUAAACACUCUGUGAAUGUUUAACCGUAAACAUGCCCUUACCCUCUCCAGCAGUUAACCCAUUUCAUAUUACUCAUUCUGAUAACUUCAAAUGUCCCGUGACGGUGAUCUCAGCACAGGAGGGUGCUGUAAAGAUCGCUAACCUAUCUACAGUGUGGCAUGCCAUUCCCCAGGGCAUGAGUGGUAAACAGGGGUAGCGGUUAGCACUGCUAGCAAGCGUCACACCAAUGAGAGACCAGAGCCAGUCCAUACCCUGAAAGUUCUUUAAUACAAAGACUACAAUGUGACAGGAAAACACUUUGUUGUUAAUUAUAGCUGCCAAGGUUUGCACUGGAAUAAAAAAUAAAAAUGUAUAAAAAGCAGGCCACAGAACUCAGCAGACCUGCACAUUCCAUAAAGACAGAUCGGUGGUGACAGUGUCCAGGGGUUUUAUCAGAGGUUCUGGGGGCAGGAUUAUUGCAGGACGAGGUCCAGGCCUGGGCCUCAAUCACAUGACCACAGCUGUCAAUCACAGCUGUGCCCCUUGCAGGGACUUGGGCCAGCAGCUCCCAGAGGUGGGAGGAGCCAGCCAGAGACCCCUGCAGCAUCGCCUCUGAAAUGGAGGACACGAAGAAAUGGAGAAUUAUGGGACUUCUGGAAUCUGACACCUAGCUUCCCCUCUUCAGACCAUUCUGCCCACCACUGGGGGGGGGGGGGGUUG
This is a long non-coding RNA of Anguilla rostrata (American eel), 981 nucleotides long. RefSeq lists it as uncharacterized. Lineage: Eukaryota; Metazoa; Chordata; Actinopteri; Anguilliformes; Anguillidae. The record is from RefSeq and is a predicted model, not a curated record. The transcript has 2 exons.